AUCCGGCUGACGAGUCCCAAAUAGGACGAAACACGAGUCCUGGAU
Molecule: non-coding RNA, 45 nt
Organism: Schistosoma mattheei
Lineage: Eukaryota; Metazoa; Platyhelminthes; Trematoda; Strigeidida; Schistosomatidae
Source: Rfam